This 115-nucleotide long non-coding RNA is filed under the name Anas platyrhynchos platyrhynchos (common mallard). RNAcentral describes it as "lncRNA (ENSAPLG00000028106.1)". Lineage: Eukaryota; Metazoa; Chordata; Aves; Anseriformes; Anatidae. The record is from RNAcentral.
CACCUCUGGAAACCUAUUCAGAGAAAGAGACCUCUCAGCUGGACUUCAAGAGUAAAAAUAAAAAGGUGAUAUUUUGGCUAGGACAAAACCAUAUAUCCGAAAACUAGAGAGCAUU